CAUCCCAGCCGCCACACGACCGACCUUCAACGUUGAAAUAUGGUUGAAAUAAGGUCAGAUGUGUUUUGAACGUUGAAAUAAUGUUGAUAGAACGUUUAAUGUUGAACGGUUGAAAAACAGCCUGCAUAUGACAAGGCUUCAACGUUGAAAUGUGGUUGAAAAUACGUCAGUUGUUUAAUGUUGAAACAAUGUUGAAUGAUAAAUGGUUAAAAAAAGUUACAGAAAUCCUUGUACAAAUCAACGUUGACAUUUUUUUAUCAUGGUCUGUAUGUUGAAUUAACGUCAUGGCUUCACCCAAUAUUCAACAUGUUUGGUUACCAUGGUAUCGGAGGACUCGGCGCACGCGGCCACGCGCAGCGCUUCACUUCACUUAAUUACGAACACCUGACCUGCAGUGCAGCAGAAUUCAGAGGUAAGCGUGUUUUUAGAUGCUUUAAUGUUUUAUUUACCCCCCGAUUUUGUUUUACACACAGUGUAUCUUAAAUGUGACUUGGUGUAGUGUUUCGAAUUUUGAAGCAUUUAAAACUUUCCAGUUUGUUUUUAGUCUUGUUUGCGCUCCGGUGACGCAGCUAACCUCAAGGUAAUGUCAAAUGUUUAACGUUAGUCUAAAUGAGCGUUUUUAUGGCAAAUUCAAAGCGAUAAACUCCAAACGCAGUUUAAAGUUACUGAGCAACGUUAUAAAACAAUAUCCAUUUUAUACGCUGUAUUAUUAGUGUUAUUAUUACAAAGUGAACUGCUGUCGUUUCACUGUUGUUGUUGUUUUUGCUUUUAGACAUGUAACUUACUCCAGAGACGCACUAACUUGCACAGCAUUAAAUGGAAAAGGCUUUGUCCAUGUCCAGUUGAGGGGCAUCAAGAACACGCAGAUAGCCUACCUGUGUCAGCCUGGACAGACUGCAGUUCUGCUACUCCAUGCCAAGGCUUUUGUAUGGAUGUCUUGACUACUACUGUGUUCUCUAAAGGUUUUCUGGAGGCUCCAUUUGAGGGCAUCAAGGACAUACUGAUGGCCUAAACCAGUGUCAGCCUAGACAGACAGGCAUCUAUUGCAGUUCUGCUACACAAGACCAAACUCUCUGCUUUUGUAUGGAUGUCUGACUAGUACGGUGUUCUCUAAAGGUAUAACUGGAGCAAAACAAUAGCAUCCGUUACAGUGAAAUUUGUGUUCAUAAAAGAUAGUGAUAUGUGUAACAGGUCCAGUACAUUUGUCAUAAAGGUAAAAUCACAGUAAGUACUGUAAAAAUAACUUGUUUGCCUUUGCCACAACAGGUCAUGGUGUGUGCUUACUGCUCGUAGUAAACAC
Molecule: non-coding RNA, 1300 nt
Organism: Danio rerio (zebrafish)
Lineage: Eukaryota; Metazoa; Chordata; Actinopteri; Cypriniformes; Danionidae
Source: Ensembl